Trifolium pratense (red clover) is the source of this 902-nucleotide long non-coding RNA. RefSeq lists it as uncharacterized. The transcript is spliced from 8 exons. The record is from RefSeq and is a predicted model, not a curated record. Lineage: Eukaryota; Viridiplantae; Streptophyta; Magnoliopsida; Fabales; Fabaceae.
AAUCAGGUUGGUUUACUUCUUUUGACUAAGACAUUAUUUUCUUUUCUUUUACACCUUCCCAAAAACACCAUUUUGGUGAAAAACUCUACAUCAGACACAGUUUUUUUGUGGAAUCAAUUUCAAAUUUCAAAUUCAUGGGUUUCAUUUCAGUUAUUCCCUCUUCAGAUCUCUCGCUCUCUCUUCUUUCGGUUUUCUUGAAACCCCUCUUGCCUCCUUCUCAGCUUCACAUAAAAGGAAAAGAGCAUGAUAGAUCGAAUAACAAAUUAGAGUGUGACUUCUUCAACUUUGUAAAGUAGAAAGAUUCACAAAAGCAGCAAUGACAAAGAUCGAUGAAGCACAGCACACAUGUUCUCCUCUAGGUUUCAUUGUUGCUUUGAAGAGAAAUGGGGUUUAAAGAGGGUGCAACCGCAAGAAAUCAAGCUGCCUAAAGAAAUAUUGUGAAUGCUAUCAGGGGGGUGUUGUUUGCUCCAUUAGCUGCAAAUGUGAAAGGUGCAAGAAUGCAUUCGGCAGAAAGGAUGGUUUUAUCAAGUAAUUUACAAAAGAUAACACUGGUCUCUUUCCUAAUUGGCACAAGUUUAUUUGGAUGGGCAACCAAGCAAAUUAUAAAUGUUAUUCAGGCCAAAAGAUUUGUAGACUAUUGGCUACUUUGGUCCUCUAAAUGAAGUUUUCAUGCCUCAUGAUUAUUAUAUUAAGUUCAACAGUUGUUGAUGUCUUUCAGGAUCUAUUGGUUAAAGUGGAUACAAGCUGAAGGGAAAUAUGGGAAUAACUUUCAAUAUCAAGCUUUCAAUAUUUCUCACUUAAUUAGACUAACUACAAUUUAGUAAUUCUAACUUCUAUGUAUUAUGGAUUCAAUCUUACCAAAUUAGAUUGAUUGCAACUUAAGAAUUCCAAUUUUAAUGAUA